CUAAGAAUAUUCCGCAAUGGACGAAAGUCUGACGGAGCGACGCCGCGUGGAUGAAGAAGGCCGGAAGGUUGUAAAAUCCUUUUGUUGCUGAAGAAUAAGCGUGGUAGGGAAUGACCACGUGAUGACGUUAGGCAAUGAAUAAGCCCCGGCUAAUUACGUGCCAGCAGCCGCGGUAACACGUAAGGGGCGAGCGUUGUUCGGAAUUAUUGGGCGUAAAGGGCGCGUAGGCGGUUGCGUAAGUCUGGCGUGAAAGGCAGGAGCUUAACUCCUGGACGGCGUUAGAAACUGCGCGGCUUGAGUCAUGGAGGGGGAGUUGGAAUUCCUGGUGUAGGGGUGAAAUCUGUAGAUAUCAGGAAGAACACCGGUGGCGAAGGCGAACUUCCAGCCGAUGACUGACGCUGAGGCGCGAAAGUGCGGGGAGCAAACAGGAUUAGAUACCCUGGUAGUCCGCACUAUAAACGAUGUGCACUAGGUGUUGGGCCGAGCGGUUCAGUGCCGAAGCGAACGUGGUAAGUGCACCGCCU
Molecule: ribosomal RNA, 524 nt
Filed under: uncultured bacterium
Lineage: Bacteria
Description: bacterial SSU rRNA
Rfam family: Bacterial small subunit ribosomal RNA
Source: RNAcentral